RNAcentral lists this ribosomal RNA (305 nucleotides) under uncultured bacterium. Its description in RNAcentral is "bacterial SSU rRNA". It matches the Rfam family "Bacterial small subunit ribosomal RNA", at positions 338 to 641 of the family's 1533-position model. The record is from RNAcentral.
CCUACGGGGGGCAGCAGUGAGGAAUAUUGGUCAAUGGUCGGGAGACUGAACCAGCCAAGCCGCGUGAGGGAUGAAGGUACAGAGUAUCGUAAACCUCUUUUGUCAGGGAACAAAGGCGGGGACGCGUCCCCGGAUGAGUGUACCUGAAGAAAAAGCAUCGGCUAACUCCGUGCCAGCAGCCGCGGUAAUACGGAGGAUGCGAGCGUUAUCCGGAUUUAUUGGGUUUAAAGGGUGCGUAGGCGGGCAUUUAAGCCGGCGGUCAAAUGUCGGGGCUCAACCCCGGCCUGCCGUCGGAACUGGGGUCC